GACGAACGCUGGCGGCGUGCUUAACACAUGCAAGUCGUACGGUAAGGCCCUUUCGGGGGUACACGAGUGGCGAACGGGUGAGUAACACGUGAGUAACCUGCCCACAACUUUGGGAUAACGCUAGGAAACUGGUGCUAAUACUGGAUAUGUGCUCCUGCUGCAUGGUGGGGGGUGGAAAGCUCCGGCGGUUGUGGAUGGACUCGCGGCCUAUCAGCUUGUUGGUGGGGGAGUGGCCUACCAAGGCGGGGACGGGUAGCCGGCCUGGGAGGGUGACCGGCCACAUUGGGACUGAGAUACGGCCAAGACUCCUACGGGGGGCAGCAGUGGGGAAUAUUGCACAAUGGGCGCAAGCCUGAUGCAGCAACGCCGCGUGCGGGAUGACGGCCUUCGGGUUGUAACCCGCUUUCAGCAGGGACGAAGCUUUUUGUGACGGUACCUGCAGAAGAAGCACCGGCUAACUACGUG
Molecule: ribosomal RNA, 465 nt
Filed under: uncultured bacterium
Lineage: Bacteria
Description: partial 16S ribosomal RNA
Rfam family: Bacterial small subunit ribosomal RNA
Source: RNAcentral